This is a long non-coding RNA of Cottoperca gobio, 3541 nucleotides long. RefSeq lists it as uncharacterized. The transcript is spliced from 3 exons. NCBI's taxonomy places the organism in Eukaryota, Metazoa, Chordata, Actinopteri, Perciformes, Bovichtidae. The record is from RefSeq and is a predicted model, not a curated record.
GUGAACGUGUGAUUUAAGGGAAGCGGCUUCAGCUCUGUGUUUAAACUCUGAAACGUAUUUCGUCUCCGUGUUUGUGCCGACGGCUGAUUGUUGUGGCGUUUGUUCAGCUGUCACUCAAACAUUGUGGGCGGUGCUUGACGUCAUCAGUCGUUGUGUAAUGUGGGACUUUGUUUAGGUGGAGCUACUCCCUCUGUCUGUGGAGCCAUGGAGGACGUGGUGAUCAAAUGUUGUCUUAUAGAUCAGCUGUGAAUAUGAAACUACUGUAUUACUGCAGAUCAAUAUUAUCACUACAGUAAUAAGGAGACAUGUUUUGUGUCUGUCGAGUGGGGAAAUGAAAGAACGUACAAAUGAAAGUCAUGAAAUGUGCAGUUUGAAGGAUUUAAAGGACCUUUGUGUUGCUGUAGUUUCCCAGCAUGCUCUCUGGUCUGUGUGUUGGUGUGCAGGAGGAUCCAGGUGGAGCAGAUGCAUCAACACAGAGGGGUCAAGGUGCGUUCACUGACCUGCUUCAACAGUAGGAGCAGUGACUGUUGAACUGUCUGUCAGUCUGUGUGUGUGUCUGGCUCCACCUGCUGCUUCUUAUUUUAAUGACUGACAAUCUGCAUCCAAUAACUUGUGCACUCUUUAAUAUUGAGCUCCACCUUCCAGAUACUGCAGUACUUCUUCUGUGAAACACAUCGACACACUGCAGCAAGUAUUCAUGUGUUCAGUGAAGACGAGCUCUAAUGAACUCCUGCAUGCUUUGAGAGGAGAGGACGCUGGCGUUGUUUGUUCACCGCUUCUCCGUCUGAAUUACUACCUUUUUUUAUUAUUAUUUAUUUUUUGCACCCCAGCAAGCUCCAAGUCAGGUGUUGACCUGUCUUUCAUUCCAACUGUUCAACCUUUUUCUGCUGUGACUACCUCCACGGCUGGGAUUUACUGGCUGCCCUCACUCAGCCAACGAGUGGCUGGUGGCUAACGCUAGCCGCUACAUCGCUCAUUAUGCUCACAUUUUCAACUUCACAGCUUCUGCAACUUAACAACUACACCAUUCCAUCCUGCAUCUCUGUUAUACAACAACUUGGACUCCUACGCCGACCCCGCUACAUACACCGUAGCACUCGCAGUAGGUUUGUUUACUUCCAGCACCGACAAUCCAUUAGAACCAUCUGGUCAGCUCCACGUACCGUCGCACAUCUGACACGUCAUCAGAGCGCACCCUCUACCACAACAUAUACUGGGAACACCACUUGACUGCUGCACUCCCGGCAGCAAAGAAAACCUGAAACUGACUUUCCCUCUCUCCGCCGUCUCACACCAACAACAUCUAUUCUAGACAACAUCAGACCUCUCCAGCCUGCCACCACCGCACCACCCUCCCUCUCAACCAACCUUGCCCUCCUCAACCUCCAGUCAAUCAACAAUAAAGUCCCCAUCCUGCACGAACUCAUCCUUGACAAAACCCUGGAUUUUCUUCUGCUCACUGAAACCUGGCAACAACCCAAUGAUUUCUUCUCCCUCAAUCAAACAUCCCCUCUGGGUUUUAACUACAUCACUAAACCCCGCCUCUCCCAUCGUGGUGGUGGCCUUGCUGUUAUCUACAAUCAGAACUUCCGGAUCACAGAACUCACCCUCCCCCAGUACCAUCCUUUGAGUUCCUUGCCUUCAAAGCCUUCUCCUCAAUGACAGUUAUUCUCAUUUACCGGCCUUCUAAAACUCAUCCCUCCUUCCUCUCUGAUUUUACUGAACUCCUCACACUAGCCUCAUCCAUCUCCCCACGCCUGUUACUGCUCGGUGACCUUAACAUCCACAUGGACUCCCCCACCUGCAAACUCUCAGCUGAACUCUCUACUCUACUGGACAAUUUUUCUAUCACCCAACAUGUCACCUUCCCCACCCACGACAAAGGACACAUCAUCGACCUUGUCUGCUCAACAAACCUCUCUUUCAACACCUCCUCACCCUGGUUCACACCCACACUUCGCAAAAUGAAAUAGACUGGCCGCAAACUUGACAAAAAAACCUCCCUUACAGUCCACCAAGAAGCCUACAAACUCCCUCACCGCUGCCAAGUCUGCUUAACUCUCGACCAUCUUCAAUGACCCCUCCCGGAAUCCCAGAUCCCUUUUCUCCACAGUCAAAAACCUCCUCCAGUCCCGUGCCAACAGCUUCACUACAUCUACUCCUGCUUUAUGCGACUCAUUCCUCCAGUUUUUCACAGACAAAAGGAAGUGUAACUGAGAGAAGUGAAAAUACAGAUCUAAGAGGAGACGGAGAGAUUCAGGGAGGAGCUCAGAUGUUACUGAACUAUAGAAGAGAGAGGAACUUCUAUAUUCAACAGAGUUCAACACACAAACCAUCAACAUUACCUUCAUUCAACAUGCUGUCACUGCAUCAUUGUGUGUCUUCUCUCAUGUUUCUACUUCUUCUAAAAGGUGUCAGCUGUGAAGAACUGACUGCUGACAAGAAAGAAGAGUACAGUUUAGAAGGCAGCUCUGUUACUCUCUCCUACAAAUACUCCAGAACUGCAGCUGGUGGUGAUCAUUUCUUCUGGUAUCGACAAUAUCCAGGAAAACCACCAGAGUUCAUCAUCUUUGAUUUAGCCCUGGGCUCCAUGGACAGCAUAAAGCCAGAGAGUAGUGAAGAACAUGUUGCAGAGGGCAGAAACAUCAACCUGACCUGUAGAUAUGAGGGUACUAUCAACAGUAUCCAGUGGUACUGACAAUACCAGAGAUCCAGACCAGAGUUCCUGCUCUACAUCACAGAGGGAGGAUUGAUUCAUUCAACUGUUUCUGAUUUCUCAGCUCACAUUGACAAGACACAGAAACGUGUUGAUCUGGAGAUCAUCUCAGCUAAAGACUCUGCUGUGUACUACUGUGCUGUGAGGCUCACAGUGACAGGAAACACCAGAACUCUGUACAAAAACCUUUGGAACAAAGACAACACAAUACUCCACAACAUCCACCAGAUGGAGUCACUCUGUUAAACGAUGAUACCAUUUCAACAAUGCAAAUAAUAUAUUUGAGUAACAUGUAAAAAAUCCAGAAAAAUAUGGAAGCUUGUGUGUUGGAAAAGACAGCAUGUAAAUAUAAAAAGAGAGGACCUAGGAUUGAACCCUGUGGUACACCACAAGAAAACACAACCUGACAGAACAGAGAAAUUUAUUUUCUAAUGAAAAGAAGAAAAGCAUUAAACAUCUGAGCCUGUAAUACCAACAUGUUUAUGGAGAUACUUCAUUCAAAUUGUGUGAUUGGUCAAUAGUGUAGUUAAAUAUAACGAUAAAUAUAGUGACACAAUGUGACUAUAUGUAAUAAUGCCUCAUCAUAACUGAAUGUAACAGCCAGUCCUCCUCAAAUUCAACUCUGUAGGUCAAUUGUUUUUGUGAUGAACUCUCAAACAUGUUCAUAACUGCCUAAAUGUUAAACUAUUUUUGACAAUAUGAUCAUUAAGUUUGAAUAAAUUAUUUAUUAUCCUAAAAAAGAACGUAGCAUUGAUGAACUAGGAAACAACAUAAUUCUAUUUUGCAAGCCUGUUUACAGAAUGACAAUAAAUGAUCCUUGAAUGA